Molecule: long non-coding RNA, 4424 nt
Filed under: Populus trichocarpa (black cottonwood)
Lineage: Eukaryota; Viridiplantae; Streptophyta; Magnoliopsida; Malpighiales; Salicaceae
Description: long non-coding RNA (PTRI_LNC001632)
Source: RNAcentral
UGGGAUCAAGAGCUGGAUGCAUUAUGAUGACAGUGGUGAAAAGCCUGUCAUCACGUUGAACAAGAAGCUUAGCUACCUCUACCAGGGCCACAACAUGACCCAUGGCAGGUACGGGGAUUAACACCACCCCUGCUUUCUUCAUUUUUUUUCUUGAAAAAUAAAAAUUUUAAUGAUGGAGGGACAAAGUGCGCUCUAAAUAAAUAGAUAGAUAGAUCCAAAGAUAAAUUAGAGUGAUGUCAUUGCUUACCUAGCUGAGAAAUUAAUUUCUAGAAAAGGACUGGAAUAUAAAUUAAUAAUUAUUAAAGUUCUAGAAGAUAAGUUUUCAUCGGAUCGUCAUGUUCCAUGGGAAAAAAGAAGAAGAAGUCAAUGAUUCCAAUUACAGGUGUUCCAAUAUUAAGAGUUCGGUUUAUAUAUUGCUAGAAUUAUAUAUUUAAAUAUGUUUAAUUAAUUAUAUGAUCUCACUAAUUUUUUUUAAAAAAAACAUUGAUUAAAAAAAUAAUAUAAUUAUAAGGUUUUUUAAACAUAUAUUUUCAAAUUACAAACCCAAAAGCCAUACCACAAUACUUAAACAUAUUCUAAGUCUGAACUCUAGCAUCUAAGAUUCGUUUCUUUAAAACAAGUUUCCUCCAAUCUUCUAAGCUUUGAUUAAUUUACUAAAUUUGCAAUCUCUAAGAUUCUAGAUGCAGGCUUAAUAAAAAAACUUAAUUUCAAAUUAAUUUAAUAUUAAAAGAUAAAACUAGAAAAAAACAUAUAUUAAUUUAAAAAAUUUAUCAAAGUAUAAAAUAAAAAUAGAAAUAAUAAAAUAAUGAUAAAAUCUGAUAGGAAAAAACUUAAGAAUAAUGAAAUUAUAGAAAAAUCAAUUUUAAAAAUUAUUUCAAAUAAAAUAAAUAGUAAUCAAAAGAAUAUUGAUCAAAUCUGACGGAUAAAAAAAUAAACGAUGAUGAAAUUAAUUGAAAAAAAUCUAAUUUUAUAAAUGAUUUCAAAUAAAAAAAACAAUAAUCAAAUAUGAAGGAAAAACAAAUUGAAAUGCUACUUUUAAAAUUUAGAGGGUUAUAUGUGUGCAGUAAUCAAGGAGAAGAGUGAAAAGAAGGGAAUAAAGAGAGAAAAGAUCAUCGGCAUCAAGUUAGAGAUCAAUAAGCCAUAUACGUCAUUUAAGGAUGGAGGAGCUGCCGAGACAAUUCGAAUACCAUUCAAAAAGUCAUUGUUUGAUCGUCUAACGCCUCUUUACUCGUGUUCUGAAUGGCGCAUAAACAAUCCAUGCAAUAACGCGUGUAAUUAAUGCACGGGACAUCUAUCUUUUUAAAUAAUAUUUAUAUUUAUAAAAUUAUUAAAUUGACCCUCAAUUAACUUAAUUGUAAAAAAAAAAAUCAUGAUGAAAAUAUAAAAACAUCCAUGGAUGCUAGUUAAAAAAAUGUUAUUUUUAAGAGUAAUUGAAUUAUUGUACUAUGCUUGAAAAAAUGAAAAUAAAAAAAUGUCAAUGGAUGCUGGUUUAAUUUUAUUUAUUUAUUUUAAAAAUAAUGUUAUUAUCUCACUAUACUUUAAAAAUAUGAAAAUAUCUAUUGAUCACCUAUCAAUGGUAAUAAUUAAUGGAUACUUGUGAAAAUUCACAAGAUCAUAUUAUCUAUAAUAGCUAAUUAUUUAGUUAUUUUUUAAAAGGAUAAAAAUGAAUUGCUAUAAUAAAUAACCACAAGUUCUGAUCUUAUCAGCACUCACAACAAUCUCCCUAUCACUAGUAGAAUAUCUUCUAUAAUCCAUUUUAAGCUCCAGUACUAAUCCCAAUUCAAUCACCAUGUUAAAAGCAUUAAGUUGUUGUUCUGUACAUAUUCAAUCACAACAAUCUCCUUACCACCAUUAGAAGCUUAUGCUAAUGUUUGAAUAGAUUAAACUAAAUCUCUACGAAAUCGUCACUAUAUGAUAAAGUAUUGGGUUUUAAUUGUUUCGUGGCACAUGUACAUUGUCUCCAGCAAUGAUCAUAUCUUUAAUCAAACGACUCAAUGAGGAGGAUGAAGAUCCACCUUCCAUCAUAGCUUUUCUACUCUUUUCACUCAAUUCUUUCAGCCUUUUCAAUUUAUGGCCAUCAUGCUCCAUGCCACUUUUUAUUCCUCUCUCAAUUUCCUUAGCACCCAAAAUUGUUUCAUUGCCAAUCAAAAACUCUCUUCUAUAAUCCAUUUUGAUUUCCACUGCCAAUCCCAACUCAACCACUACUUCAAAAGCAUUAAAUUGUUGUUCUGCAUACAUCGGCCAUGUAGCAAGGGGAACACCAAACCAUACACUCUCUAGUAUAGAAUUCCAUCCACAAUGUGAUAUAAAUUCUUUGAUGGAAGGAUGAGCCAAGACAUCCACUUGUGGUGCCCAUCCAAUAACCUUUCCAAUCUUCGCUGUUCGAUCCAAGAAUCCAUCUGGAAAGACUUCUUGCUGAUAUGCAUGAUCAACUAAGAAAUCGAUCUUUCCCUCUGAUGGAGGUUUGCGCAAGGACCACAAGAAUCGAUGUCCACUAUGUUCUAGUGCCCACGCGAUCUCUUUCACUUGAUCCACGCUGAAACUUCCCAUGCUCCCGAAACAGAGGAACACCACCGAGGACGGAGGCUGAUCAUCAAGCCAUAGCAUGAUGUCCCUAUAGCUGUUGCUUCCAUCUGAACCCACAUCAUGGACAUCACCCUUGAGAUUCAAAAUCGGUCCUACUGGAUAAACAGCAGGGUUUUCACCAUUAGAAAGACACUUAACAGCAUGUAAUUCCACCUCUUCAAAUGUAUUGAGAAUAAUACCCUUAGCUUCUCUAAACCUUCUUACAUGGUAAAGAACAACAGGAAGUGUGUCUUUGCUAAGCAUGACCGAAGGGAAAACCUUAACAGGAAGUGGGUUCACCAAAGUCGGUAUUUCAAACUCAGCAUCCACGUCCUUUAACUCAGUAAGGUCCACUUCCUGCUUAUCAUGAAGAUCCUGCAUAUGAAACUGGAAACCAAGAAAAGCAGCACUUGAUGUGAAGUAAAUGUAAGAGGGGACACCAAAUUCAUUGGCCACAUCAAUCAUUCCUGUACAAAACAUGUCAAGAACAAAGCAUGCAAGUCGAGGGGGGUUAGGGUUUAACUCUGACUGAGUUAUGAGCUUGGAAACAAAUUCUUUGACAUGGGGUUUCUCGCUUUCAAUCAAAGAAGUGACAAACUUAGAGGGAUGAUCAUUUGAUGUGUUGGUUUUAUCACUAGGUAGGUCAAUGAAUUGGAUACGAGUGGAUUUGGAAGAAGCAGUGAGUGACUCAGUGUACCUGCUGAUUUUGGAGUCUAAAGCUAGCCUAAUGAUGAUAACAGUGAUGGAAACUCUGUCAUCACGAUCAACAAGGAGUUUUGCUAACUCCAUCAUUGAAGCAAGGUGGCCAAUACCUGGGGAAGGUACAAGCACCAGCUCCGCUUUCUUCAUUUUGCUAAAAAUUCGGCUACAAAGAGAUUUUUGUGAUGCGCGUAGAAGGUAAUGAAUUUGUGGUGUUUAGAGUUGGAUCCCUGUUUAUACGCGUGGCGAUUCUGCCAACCAAAUUUAAGGAUUGGAAGGAUACAAGAGAGAAUAGGAAGGAUUUUUAUAAACCUUCCAACUCCUAUUCGGGGUGUGGAGGAGGACAUGAUUAAGUCUUACAAUUUUUUUGUCUCAUUUUUCCUUUGUUAACAUUUUUUUUUUGUAAUUUAAAAUCUAUAAAUCUAUAUUAGAAGUGUAAAUAAAAAAAGUAUGUGGUUUAUAGUUAUAAUUAAAUACUUUAUUGUAAUUUUAAAAUUAAACUUGGCUCAACAACUGCAUACCUUACCCAACUCUCCCAUGACUUUCCCUCGCCCAGACCACAGAUAGUACUAGAGGAAGGUAUGGUUUAGAAUCAAACACGUUGAGAUGGUUAGUUAGCUUAGAUGGUGACCUAUGCUAUUAAUUUUCUAGCUUUCCCUCAUACAUCAUGAAUCAUGAUGCUUUUUGGGCAAGACUUUGAGUGCUGAGACUUGGACAUGUUCAUUGAAAUGUAAAUGGUUGCAGCAGAGAAAAAGGCGGGGUUUCACAAAGCAUAGGAAAACCACUGGCUAUGGAGGUUGAUCAUCAAGCCAUUCCAUGAUACAAAGGAGGGGUUUUACCAUCCGAAAAGGCGUUGAUUACAUGGGAUUCAAGCUCCAUUAAUGUCUUUACCACAAUACCUCUUGCUUUUAUACCUUCUUGCAUUGCCGAAGUCAAUAGGAUGCCAGUCUUUGUUAAACACAACAGAAGGCAAAACAUUUGAAGGAAUCGUGUUAAUAAUGCCUGGCAACAUGAACUCAGCAUCUGAGUCCUUAAACUUGGUAGUGUCCACACUCUUCUUGUCAUUAAGAGAUGCAUACAAGUUAGUGUUUGUUUCGGAGGUCCUGAAAAAUUUUGAUUUUUUUUGUUUUUUAAAUUAGUUUUUUUUAAUGUUUUUGGAU